Molecule: non-coding RNA, 76 nt
Organism: Rhizopus delemar RA 99-880
Lineage: Eukaryota; Fungi; Mucoromycota; Mucoromycetes; Mucorales; Rhizopodaceae
Source: the annotation of a GenBank genome assembly
GUGGAUGUAGCUCAGUCGGUAGGGCGUCUGACUAUUAUUGUGGUGGUCGCAAGUUCGACCCCUGGUAGGAUCUUCG